Molecule: ribosomal RNA, 301 nt
Filed under: uncultured bacterium
Lineage: Bacteria
Description: partial 16S ribosomal RNA
Rfam family: Bacterial small subunit ribosomal RNA
Source: RNAcentral
CAGUAGCCGCGGUAAGACGGAGGAUGCAAGCGUUAUCCGGAAUGAUUGGGCGUAAAGCGUCUGUAGGUGGUUUAUUAAGUCUGCUGUUAAAGCACAGGGCUCAACCCUGUAUGGGCGGUAGAAACUGGUAGGCUUGAGUAUGGUAGGGGUAGAGGGAAUUCCCGAUGUAGUGGUGAAAUGCGUUGAUAUCGGGAAGAACACCAAAGGCGAAAGCACUCUGCUGGGCCAAUACUGACACUAAGAGACGAAAGCUAGGGGAGCAAAUGGGAUUAGAUACCCCAGUAGUCCCUGUCUCUUAUAC